This 74-nucleotide transfer RNA is filed under the name Nocardia sp. alder85J. RNAcentral's name for it is "tRNA-Leu". It matches the Rfam family "tRNA". From Rfam's summary of the family: Transfer RNA (tRNA) molecules are approximately 80 nucleotides in length. Lineage: Bacteria; Bacillati; Actinomycetota; Actinomycetes; Mycobacteriales; Nocardiaceae. The record is from RNAcentral.
UCCCCUGUAGCCCAACUGGCAGAGGCGUCGGUCUCAGGUACCGGAUGUUGCGAGUUCGAAUCUCGCCGGGGGAA